CAUGCGAGUCGUGAGGGUUCGGCCCUCGGCGAACGGCUCAGUAACACGUAGAUAAUUUGCCCUUAGGUGGAGGAUACCCUCGGGAAACUGAGAAUAAUACUCCAUAGAUUUAGAAUGCUGGAAUGCUUUUAAAUUGAAAGAUUUAUCGCCUAAGGAUAAGUCUGCGGACUAUCAGGUCGUAGUUAGGGUAAAUACCUGACUAGCCUACGACGGAUACGGGUUGUGAGAGCACUAGCCCGGAGAUGAUAUCUGAGACACGAUAUCAGGCCCUACGGGGCGCAGCAGGCGCGAAAACUUCGCACUGUGCGAAAGCACGCCGAGGGAAUCCCAAGUGCUGGCUCGUAAGAGUCAGCUGUUUCUUUGUCUAAAAACAGAGAGAGUAAGAGCUGGGUAAGACGGGUGCCAGCCGCCGCGGUAGUACCUGCAGCUCAAGUGGUGGCCGCUAUUAUUGGGCCUAAAACGUCCGUAGCCGGUUCUAUAAAUGCCAGGGUAAAUCGUACGGCUUAACCGUACGAAUUCCGGGUAGACUGUUUAACUUGGGACCGGGAGAGGCUAGAGGCACUCCUGGGGUAGAGGUGAAAUUCUGUAAUCCUAGGGGGACCACCAGUGGCGAAGGCGUCUGGCUAGAACGGGUCUGACGGUGAGGGACGAAGCCCUGGGGAGCAAACGGGAUUAGAUACCCCGGUAGUCCAGGGUGUAAACGCUGCUCGCUUGAGGUUAGUCGGGCUCCGAGCCCAACUAGUGUCGGAGAGAAGUUGUUAAGCGAGCUGCCUGGGAAGUACGGUCGCAAGACUGAAACUUAAAGGAAUUGGCGGGGGAGCACCGCAACGGGUGGAGCGUGCGGUUUA
Molecule: ribosomal RNA, 848 nt
Filed under: uncultured archaeon
Lineage: Archaea
Description: bacterial SSU rRNA
Rfam family: Archaeal small subunit ribosomal RNA
Source: RNAcentral